GAUGAACGCUGGCGGCGUGCCUAAUACAUGCAAGUAGAACGCUGAAGGAAGGAGCUUGCCCUUUCCGGAUGAGUUGCGAACGGGUGAGUACGCGUAGGUAACCUGCCUGGUAGCGGGGGGUAACUAUUGGAAACGAUAGCUAAUACCGCAUAACAGUAGAUGUUGCAUGAUAUCUACUUAAAAAGGGCAAUUGCACCACUACCAGAUGGACCUGCGUUGUAUUAGCUAGUUGGUGAGGUAACGGCUCACCAAGGCGACGAUACAUAGCCGACCUGAGAGGGUGAUCGGCCACACUGGGACUGAGACACGGCCCAGACUCCUACGGGAGGCAGCAGUAGGGAAUCUUCGGCAAUGGACGGAAGUCUGACCGAGCAACGCCGCGUGAGUGAAGAAGGGUUUCGGAUCGUAAAGCUCUGUUGUAAGAGAAGAACGAGUGUGAGAGUGGAAAGUUCACACUGUGACGGUAUCUUACCAGAAAGGGACGGCUAACUACGUG
RNAcentral lists this ribosomal RNA (496 nucleotides) under uncultured bacterium. Its description in RNAcentral is "partial 16S ribosomal RNA". It matches the Rfam family "Bacterial small subunit ribosomal RNA", at positions 28 to 507 of the family's 1533-position model. The record is from RNAcentral.